CAGCAGCCGCGGUAAUACAGAGGGUGCAAGCGUUAAUCGGAAUUACUGGGCGUAAAGCGCGCGUAGGUGGUUCGCCAAGUUGGAUGUGAAAUCCCCGGGCUCAACCUGGGAACUGCAUCCAAAACUGGUGAGCUAGAGUACGGUAGAGGGUAGUGGAAUUUCCUGUGUAGCGGUGAAAUGCGUAGAUAUAGGAAGGAACACCAGUGGCGAAGGCGACUACCUGGACUGAUACUGACACUGAGGUGCGAAAGCAUGGGGAGCAAACAGGAUUAGAUACCCGGGUAGUCCCUGUCUCUUAUAC
This 301-nucleotide ribosomal RNA is filed under the name uncultured bacterium. RNAcentral's name for it is "partial 16S ribosomal RNA". It matches the Rfam family "Bacterial small subunit ribosomal RNA", at positions 509 to 807 of the family's 1533-position model. The record is from RNAcentral.